AUAUCAAUAAGCGGAGGAAAAGAAACCAACAGGGAUUGCCCUAGUAACGGCGAGUGAAGCGGCAACAGCUCAAAUUUGAAAUCUGGCGCAAGCCCGAGUUGUAAUUUGCAGAGGAUGUUUCGGAGCAGCGGCCGUUCUAAGUUUCUUGGAACAGAGCGUCACAGAGGGUGAGAGUCCCGUACGUGAGCGGCUGAGCACUCCACACGAAACUCCUUCGACGAGUCGAGUUGUUUGGGAAUGCAGCUCUAAAUGGGGAGGUAAAUUUCUUCUAAAGCUAAACACCGGCCAGAGACCGAUAGCGCACAAGUA
This 309-nucleotide ribosomal RNA is filed under the name uncultured Uwebraunia. Its description in RNAcentral is "partial large subunit ribosomal RNA". It matches the Rfam family "Eukaryotic large subunit ribosomal RNA", at positions 40 to 350 of the family's 3401-position model. Lineage: Eukaryota; Fungi; Ascomycota; Dothideomycetes; Mycosphaerellales; Dissoconiaceae. The record is from RNAcentral.